This 73-nucleotide transfer RNA is filed under the name Carnobacterium sp. AT7. RNAcentral describes it as "tRNA-Lys". It matches the Rfam family "tRNA". From Rfam's summary of the family: Transfer RNA (tRNA) molecules are approximately 80 nucleotides in length. Their secondary structure includes four short double-helical elements and three loops (D, anti-codon, and T loops). Lineage: Bacteria; Bacillati; Bacillota; Bacilli; Lactobacillales; Carnobacteriaceae. RNAcentral also lists the same sequence under 1 other name. The record is from RNAcentral.
GGGUUGUUAGCUCAGUUGGUAGAGCAGCUGACUCUUAAUCAGCGGGUCGAGGGUUCAAACCCCCCACAGCCCA